UUCCUUGAUGCUCGAGUGUUUGUCUUGUUUGAUCAUGUUCGGGUAGUCGUCUACGAAUUUCUGGUUUUGUAUGUAGGUGUUUGGGUUAGCUAUGGGUUUCUGUGGGGUGGGUAAAUAGUAUGGGAGUUCAUAGAUUUGUGUUAUUAAUUAGUUUGGGAUGCUACAAAAUAUGUGUAAAGGCAUGCUCACAUGAAUUAGAUUUGACUACCCUGAUAGAGCAAAGGCUUUUAAUAGUAGAUAUUAUCCAUUUUCUUAUAUCUCUGCACAUGCUCGAACAUGACAAAUUAAUCCUUUUGAAUGUUGGCUGCUUAUAAGACCAAAUGUAUGCUUUAUUAAUGAAAUAAGAUCCCAACAGAAAAAAGAGUAUGAAAGAAGAAAAAAAA
Molecule: long non-coding RNA, 383 nt
Filed under: Hordeum vulgare
Lineage: Eukaryota; Viridiplantae; Streptophyta; Magnoliopsida; Poales; Poaceae
Description: long non-coding RNA (HVUL_LNC015121)
Source: RNAcentral